GACGAACGCUGGCGGCGUGCCUAAUACAUGCAAGUCGAGCGAAGUUUUUCUGGUGCUUGCACUAGAAAAACUUAGCGGCGAACGGGUGAGUAACACGUAAAGAACCUGCCUCAUAGACUGGGACAACUAUUGGAAACGAUAGCUAAUACCGGAUAACAGUAUUUCUCGCAUGGGAGAUAUUUAAAAGUUGGUUAUGCUAACACUAUGAGAUGGCUUUGCGGUGCAUUAGCUAGUUGGUGGGGUAAAGGCCUACCAAGGCGACGAUGCAUAGCCGACCUGAGAGGGUGAUCGGCCACACUGGGACUGAGACACGGCCCAGACUCCUACGGGAGGCAGCAGUAGGGAAUCUUCCGCAAUGGGCGAAAGCCUGACGGAGCAACGCCGCGUGAGUGAAGAAGGAUUUCGGUUCGUAAAGCUCUGUUGUUAGGGAAGAAUGGAUAUGUAGUAACU
Molecule: ribosomal RNA, 450 nt
Filed under: Gemella morbillorum
Lineage: Bacteria; Bacillati; Bacillota; Bacilli; Caryophanales; Gemellaceae
Description: bacterial SSU rRNA
Rfam family: Bacterial small subunit ribosomal RNA
Source: RNAcentral